UACGAAGGGGGCUAGCGUUGCUCGGAAUCACUGGGCGUAAAGGGUGCGUAGGCGGGUCUUUAAGUCAGGGGUGAAAUCCUGGAGCUCAACUCCAGAACUGCCUUUGAUACUGAGGAGCUCGAGUCCGGGAGAGGUGAGUGGAACUGCGAGUGUAGAGGUGAAAUUCGUAGAUAUUCGCAAGAACACCAGUGGCGAAGGCGGCUCACUGGCCCGGUACUGACGCUGAGGUGCGAAAGCGUGGGGAGCAAACGGG
This 253-nucleotide ribosomal RNA is filed under the name uncultured bacterium. RNAcentral's name for it is "partial 16S ribosomal RNA". It matches the Rfam family "Bacterial small subunit ribosomal RNA", at positions 524 to 776 of the family's 1533-position model. The record is from RNAcentral.